This 778-nucleotide ribosomal RNA is filed under the name uncultured Neocallimastigales. Its description in RNAcentral is "partial large subunit ribosomal RNA". It matches the Rfam family "Eukaryotic large subunit ribosomal RNA", at positions 22 to 637 of the family's 3401-position model. The record is from RNAcentral. Lineage: Eukaryota; Fungi; Neocallimastigomycota; Neocallimastigomycetes; Neocallimastigales.
CAUAGCGACUAUCGUGGCAUAUCAAUAAGCGGAGGAAAAGAAACUAACAAGGAUUCCCCUUAGUAACGGCGAGUGAAGCGGGAAGAGCUCAAAUUUGAAAUCUUCAAGGGUUUACCUUUACGAAUUGUAGUUUAAAGAAGUGUUUUCUGUUGGAGUUUUCGGUAAAAGUUCUUUGGAAUAGGACAUCAUAGAGGGUGAGAAUCCCGUAUUUGACCAGUUACUUUCCAGCUGUGUGAUACACUUUCAAAGAGUCGGAUUGUUUGGGAAUGCAGUCCAAAAUGGGUGGUAAAUUUCAUCUAAAGCUAAAUAUUGGCGAGAGACCGAUAGCGAACAAGUACCGUGAGGGAAAGAUGAAAAGAACUUUGAAAAGAGAGUUAAACAGUACGUGAAAUUGUCAAAAGGGAAGCGUUUGACACCAGUGUUGUUUAGUUGAAAAUCAAUUCAAUAAUUUUUGAUUUUAAGUAGUAUUGACUUCAUCAGCUUGCUGCUUUCUUUUCAGGAAUUAUUGAAUGCACUUUUCAGUUAACAGGUCAACAUCAAUUUCUUUUGUUGUAAAAGGGUAAGAGGAAGGUGGCUUACGCUUCGGCGUAAGUGUUUAUAGCCUUUUACCUCUGCAAUCGGAGAGAUUGAGGACAGCAGCGUAGACUCUUCGGGGUUAGAUACACUUGUGCUAAGCUAUAGCCUUGUAUAGACAACUUGUUGACUAUGCUCAGUCAUGUAGCUUACUCGCUUGUGCUAUUUUACCUACGCUUAGGAUGUUGACGCGCGUGUGUGCGUG